UACGGGGGGAGCAAGCGUUGUUCGGAUUUACUGGGCGUAAAGGGCGCGUAGGCGGCCACCGCAAGUCAAUUGUGAAAUCUCCGGGCUUAACUCGGAAAGGUCAACUGAUACUGCGGGGCUAGAGUGCAGAAGGGGCAACUGGAAUUCUCGGUGUAGCGGUGAAAUGCGUAGAUAUCGUAAGGAAGACCAGUGGCGAAGGCGGGUCUCUGGACAGUUCCUGACGCUGAGGCACGAAGGCCAGGGGAGCAAACGGG
Molecule: ribosomal RNA, 254 nt
Filed under: uncultured bacterium
Lineage: Bacteria
Description: partial 16S ribosomal RNA
Rfam family: Bacterial small subunit ribosomal RNA
Source: RNAcentral